GACGAACGCUGGCGGCGUGCUUAACACAUGCAAGUCGAACGGAAAGGCCCUGCUUUUGUGGGGUGCUCGAGUGGCGAACGGGUGAGUAACACGUGAGUAACCUGCCCUUGACUUUGGGAUAACUUCAGGAAACUGGGGCUAAUACCGGAUAGGAGCUCCUGCUGCAUGGUGGGGGUUGGAAAGUUUCGGCGGUUGGGGAUGGACUCGCGGCUUAUCAGCUUGUUGGUGGGGUAGUGGCUUACCAAGGCUUUGACGGGUAGCCGGCCUGAGAGGGUGACCGGCGGGAUGGGGAGUGCGAGCGGGCCCACACGGGGGGGGGAGGCAGGAGUGGGAAAUAUGGCGAGACGGGCCGACGCCGGACGCGGCAGGGCCGGGGGCGGGAUGCGGGCGUGCGGGUUGGAAUCCGCUUCCGCGGGGACGGGGGAGUGGGUGGAGGUAAGGGGAAAAGAAGCACCGGAUAACCGCGGGACAGCAGCCGCGGUAAUACGCGGAAGAGCAUACGUCGGAAC
RNAcentral lists this ribosomal RNA (509 nucleotides) under uncultured bacterium. Its description in RNAcentral is "partial 16S ribosomal RNA". It matches the Rfam family "Bacterial small subunit ribosomal RNA", at positions 30 to 543 of the family's 1533-position model. The record is from RNAcentral.